UCAUCUUCUCGGAGCUGCUGUCCAACC
RNAcentral lists this non-coding RNA (27 nucleotides) under Homo sapiens (human). Lineage: Eukaryota; Metazoa; Chordata; Mammalia; Primates; Hominidae. The record is from RNAcentral.